This is a non-coding RNA of Callorhinus ursinus (northern fur seal), 315 nucleotides long. The record is from RefSeq and is a predicted model, not a curated record. Lineage: Eukaryota; Metazoa; Chordata; Mammalia; Carnivora; Otariidae.
AGGUAGGAAGAGGCGGCCGCAGACUUUCCGGUCGGCCCCUCGUCCGCUGUCGCGCGCCGGCCGGCUGGCCGCUCGGCUCGGUUGGCGGCUGCCUGGUGUCCGAGGGAGCCGGCCGCUGCUUCCCUACUUCCGGGGAGCUGUUUGGGGCAGUUCCAGUCAGCAGGGUAUCAGAGCAACUCUGUGAGAACAGCUGCGGGUGUAGUCUGGAACUCGACACUUGGUACCAGCCCUGGACUUCUGUGCCCCUCCGACUUCUCAGCACCUCAUGGAUUUGUUGGGGAGUGGGAGAGAGAGUGCGAACAGGGGACGAGGGAG